GGAUGUGAGGGCUAUCUGGCUGUGACAUCUGUCACCCCGUUGAUCGCCAGGGUUGAUUCAGCUGAUCUGGGUGGUUAGGCGGGUGUCCUCUUCCUCCCUCAUUGCUCCAUGUGCGUCCCUCCCGAAGCUGCACCCUCAGUCGAAGAGGAUGACCAUCCCCAGUAGAGGAGGACCAGUCUUCGGUCAAGGGUAUAUGAGUAGCUGCACUCCCAUGCUAGAACCUCUGAACAAGCUCUCGAGGUCCAUUAGAUUUCAUGAAAACCAUAAGCCAGACCAUGAAUAGUGUGGCAUUUU
Molecule: small nuclear RNA, 294 nt
Filed under: Aotus nancymaae (Ma's night monkey)
Lineage: Eukaryota; Metazoa; Chordata; Mammalia; Primates; Aotidae
Description: 7SK RNA (ENSANAG00000008360.1)
Rfam family: 7SK RNA
About the family: 7SK was discovered as an abundant small nuclear RNA in the mid-70s but a possible function has only recently been suggested.
Source: Rfam by way of RNAcentral